GCCGGCGUGGCGGAACUGGCAGACGCACAGGACUUAAAAUCCUGCGGGACUUACCUCCCGUACCGGUUCGAUCCCGGUCGCCGGCA
This 86-nucleotide transfer RNA is filed under the name Lachnospiraceae bacterium. Its description in RNAcentral is "tRNA-Leu". It matches the Rfam family "tRNA". Rfam says of the family: Transfer RNA (tRNA) molecules are approximately 80 nucleotides in length. Lineage: Bacteria; Bacillati; Bacillota; Clostridia; Lachnospirales; Lachnospiraceae. The record is from RNAcentral. RNAcentral also lists the same sequence under 14 other names.